AGUUCAGAUUGCAGGCUGCAACUCGCCUGCAUGAAGUCGGAAUUGCUAGUAAUCGUAGGUCAGCAUACUACGGUGAAUACGUUCCCGGGCCUUGUACACACCGCCCGUCAAACCAUGAGAGUUGGCAACACCCGAAGUCGGUAGUCUAACCGCAAGGAGGACGCCGCCGAAGGUGGGGUCGAUGAUUAGGGUUAAGUCGUAACAAGGUACC
Molecule: ribosomal RNA, 211 nt
Filed under: uncultured bacterium
Lineage: Bacteria
Description: partial 16S ribosomal RNA
Rfam family: Bacterial small subunit ribosomal RNA
Source: RNAcentral